GGAAAUUCUGACCCUACCAUUUGAAUGUCACUGCAGAAAUGGAGAGUCAUCAGACCGAGCAACGCUUUUGAUUGUCUCAUUUUGUUGAGCCUGUGAGAAUUGUAGCUUCAGUGUCCCGUUCUUAGCUGAUAGUCUGCUUCAAGGUUGGAUGCGCUGUGCAGUCAGAGAUGCUCUUCUGCAUACCUUGAUUUUAAUAAGGGGUUAUUUGGAUAACUAUUGCCUUCUUAGGACUGUUUCCCCUCAAAGCAUUCCAACCAUUGUCCUCUUACCUCUGGCAGAGGACAAUAGUUGGACCAUCGCUCACUACAAGUUUACUCUUUUUCUGACCAUAUGGUUGUGUGGGAAAAUCCCAGUAGAUCAGCAGUUUCUAAAACAGACCAGCUUACCUGGCACCAUCAACCACCCUACACUUAAAUCCCUUUUCUUCCACAUUUUGAUGCUCAGUUUGAACAUUAGUAGGCUGCCUAAAUGCAUUGAGUUCCUGUCGUUUGAUUGGCUAAUUAGAUAUUCAUAUUUACCAGCAGUUGAAGCAUAAGUAUCUUGUUUUUUGUUUUUGUUUUUUUAGGUUAAACACACUACGUGUACAAGAGCGAGUGCUUUUGUGCAGUUGCUGUUUAUUUGUAUGGUUAGUCAUUUGUUAUUUUAUGACACUAAUGUCUGAUACUACGAGGCUGUUUGUUCAGCCAUAGCAGGGGUAGUGUCCAUCACUGCUGUUGUAAUGAGCUCUGAAUUGCUUUAAUGGCUACUGAUGCUGUUUAUGGUGUCCUUUCAGUCAUAAAAAUAAUAACCUGUGGGCAAUCCAGAAGGCUGAAAGAAUUAAGAUGAUGGAAGUUUUUUCCUUUAAAAUAUGGCAGUAAAGUGGUCUACUUUACUCGUUUUAGAGACAUCAGUUAGAGGUGAUGCUGUGUCAUAUGUGAAGCUCAAACUCAUGACCCUGAUAGUGUCAUGCUCCAGCAACAGUGCUUGCUGUCUGUAAGCUAUUUGUAGCAGUCAUUCCACAAAGCAGUGGUUUUUCUUUUGAGAGAAGUGGAAUUGGU
Molecule: long non-coding RNA, 1037 nt
Organism: Astatotilapia calliptera (eastern happy)
Lineage: Eukaryota; Metazoa; Chordata; Actinopteri; Cichliformes; Cichlidae
Source: Ensembl